This 852-nucleotide ribosomal RNA is filed under the name uncultured bacterium. RNAcentral describes it as "bacterial SSU rRNA". It matches the Rfam family "Bacterial small subunit ribosomal RNA", at positions 11 to 894 of the family's 1533-position model. The record is from RNAcentral.
GUUUGAUCCUGGCUCGAAUGAACGCUGGCGGCAGGCCUAACACAUGCAAGUCGAACGGAGUUAUAUUGUAGCUUGCUAUGGUAUAACUUAGUGGCAGACGGGUGAGUAAUGUAUAGGAAUCUACCUAGUAGUACGGAAUAAUUGUUGGAAACGGCAACUAAUACCGUAUACGCCCUACGGGGGAAAAAUUUAUUGCUAUUAGAUGAGCCUAUAUUAGAUUAGCUAGUUGGUGGAGUAAUAGCCUACCAAGGCAAUGAUCUAUAGCUGAUCUGAGAGGAUGAUCAGCCACACUGGAACUGAGAUACGGUCCAGACUCCUACGGGAGGCAGCAGUGGGGAAUAUUGGACAAUGGGCGAAAGCCUGAUCCAGCCAUGCCGCAUGAGUGAAGAAGGCCUUUGGGUUGUAAAGCUCUUUUAGUGAGGAAGAUAAUGACGGUACUCACAGAAGAAGUCCUGGCUAACUCCGUGCCAGCAGCCGCGGUAAUACGGAGAGGGCUAGCGUUAUUCGGAAUUAUUGGGCGUAAAGGGCGCGUAGGCGGAUUAGUAAGUUAAAAGUGAAAUCCCAAGGCUCAACCUUGGAAUUGCUUUUAAAACUGCUAAUCUAGAGAUUGAAAGAGGAUAGAGGAAUUCCUAGUGUAGAGGUGAAAUUCGUAAAUAUUAGGAGGAACACCAGUGGCGAAGGCGUCUAUCUGGUUCAAAUCUGACGCUGAGGCGCGAAGGCGUGGGGAGCAAACAGGAUUAGAUACCCUGGUAGUCCACGCUGUAAACGAUGAAUGUUAAAUAUGGGAAGUUUUACUUUCUGUAUUACAGCUAACGCGUUAAACAUUCCGCCUGGGGACUACGGUCGCAAGAU